CCUACGGGUGGCAGCAGUGAGGAAUAUUGGUCAAUGGACGAGAGUCUGAACCAGCCAAGUAGCGUGAAGGAUGACUGCCCUAUGGGUUGUAAACUUCUUUUAUAUGGGAAUAAAACAGGGUAUGCAUACCCUCUUGUAUGUACCAUAUGAAUAAGGAUCGGCUAACUCCGUGCCAGCAGCCGCGGUAAUACGGAGGAUCCGAGCGUUAUCCGGAUUUAUUGGGUUUAAAGGGAGCGUAGGUGGAUUGUCAAGUCAAGGGUGAAAUCCCCGCGCUCAACGUGGGAACUGCCUUUGAAACUGGCAAACUGGAGUGUGUGAGAGGAUAGUGGAAUUCCAGGUGUAGGAGUGAAAUCCGUAGAUAUCUGGAGGAACAUCAGUGGCGAAGGCGACUAUCUGGCACAUAACUGACGCUGAGGAGCGAAAGCGUGGGUAGCAAACAGGAUUAGAUACCCCAGUAGUC
This 460-nucleotide ribosomal RNA is filed under the name uncultured bacterium. Its description in RNAcentral is "partial 16S ribosomal RNA". It matches the Rfam family "Bacterial small subunit ribosomal RNA", at positions 338 to 795 of the family's 1533-position model. The record is from RNAcentral.